CCUACGGGUGGCAGCAGUGGGGAAUAUUGGACAAUGGGGGGAACCCUGAUCCAGCGACGCCGCGUGAGUGACGAAGUCCUUCGGUGUGUAAAGCUCUAUCAGCAGGGAAGAAAAUGACGGUACCUGAGUAAGAAGCCCCGGCUAACUACGUGCCAGCAGCCGCGGUGAUCCGGGGGGGGCAAGCGUUAUCCGGAUUUACUGGGUGUAUAGGGAGCGUUGUCGGUGCAGCAAGUCUGAUGGGAAAGGUCGGGGCCCAACCGCGGGAGUGCAGUGGAAACUGUUGAACUUGAGUACAGGAGAGGUAAGCGGAAUGCGUGGUGUAGCGGUGAAAUGCGUAGAUAUUAGGAGGAACACCGGUGGCGAAGGCAGCGUACUGGACUGUAACUGACGUUGAGGCUCGAAAGCGUGGGUAUCGAACAGGAUUAGAUACCCGUGUAGUC
RNAcentral lists this ribosomal RNA (440 nucleotides) under uncultured bacterium. RNAcentral describes it as "partial 16S ribosomal RNA". It matches the Rfam family "Bacterial small subunit ribosomal RNA", at positions 338 to 795 of the family's 1533-position model. The record is from RNAcentral.